AGUGAACGCUGGCGGCAGGCCUAACACAUGCAAGUCGAACGGCAGCACAAGAGAGCUUGCUCUCUGGGUGGCGAGUGGCGGACGGGUGAGGAAUGCAUCUGAAUCUGCCCAUUUGUGGGGGAUAACCUCGGGAAACCGGGACUAAUACCGCAUACGACCUACGGGUGAAAGCAGGGGAUCUUCGGACCUUGCGCAGAUGGAUGAGCCGAUGCCGGAUUAGCUAGUUGGAGGGGUAAAGGCCCACCAAGGCGACGAUCCGUAGCUGGUCUGAGAGGAUGAUCAGCCACACUGGGACUGAGACACGGCCCAGACUCCUACGGGAGGCAGCAGUGGGGAAUAUUGGACAAUGGGCGCAAGCCUGAUCCAGCCAUGCCGCGUGUGUGAAGAAGGCCUUCGGGUUGUAAAGCACUUUUGUUGGGAAAGAAAAGCAGCCGGUUAAUACCCGGUUGUCAUGACGGUACCCAAAGAAUAAGCACCGGCUAACUUCGUG
Molecule: ribosomal RNA, 490 nt
Filed under: uncultured bacterium
Lineage: Bacteria
Description: partial 16S ribosomal RNA
Rfam family: Bacterial small subunit ribosomal RNA
Source: RNAcentral